GGGUGUAUAGACAAUUUAUCUAUGGUAUCUGUCAUGCCAUUGAUCAGAGUAUCUAUUUGGCUGAUCCAGUUGGGCACUUUAUUAUCUGUUUCCUCCAUUCUGGUAACUCCAUGUGUAUCCUGCUCAAAACAACGCUCUUGAUAGAAAAAAGACAACCUUACCCAAUAGAGGAAGACCAUAUUUAAGUCAAGGGUAUAUGAGCAGCUGCUAUGCUCCCAAGCUAGAACCUGCAAACAAACUUCCGAAGCUAUCAAUUAUGUUGAACUAGGUCUCAUCUGAGAGCUUCAUUUCCAAGAACAGUCGUGUCCUGAAGUUAGAGCGUGUUGUGGAAUUCUGUCUUUGG
Molecule: non-coding RNA, 343 nt
Organism: Mus musculus (house mouse)
Lineage: Eukaryota; Metazoa; Chordata; Mammalia; Rodentia; Muridae
Source: Rfam